This 434-nucleotide ribosomal RNA is filed under the name Bacillus sp. P16(2014). Its description in RNAcentral is "bacterial SSU rRNA". It matches the Rfam family "Bacterial small subunit ribosomal RNA", at positions 957 to 1392 of the family's 1533-position model. Lineage: Bacteria; Bacillati; Bacillota; Bacilli; Caryophanales; Bacillaceae. The record is from RNAcentral.
UACCGCGAAGAACCUUACCAGGUCUUGACAUCCUCUGAAAACUCUAGAGAUAGAGCUUCUCCUUCGGGAGCAGAGUGACAGGUGGUGCAUGGUUGUCGUCAGCUCGUGUCGUGAGAUGUUGGGUUAAGUCCCGCAACGAGCGCAACCCUUGAUCUUAGUUGCCAUCAUUAAGUUGGGCACUCUAAGGUGACUGCCGGUGACAAACCGGAGGAAGGUGGGGAUGACGUCAAAUCAUCAUGCCCCUUAUGACCUGGGCUACACACGUGCUACAAUGGACGGUACAAAGAGCUGCAAGACCGCGAGGUGGAGCUAAUCUCAUAAAACCGUUCUCAGUUCGGAUUGUAGGCUGCAACUCGCCUACAUGAAGCUGGAAUCGCUAGUGAUCGCGGAUCAGCAUGCCGCGGUGAAUACGUUCCCGGGCCUUGUACACACCG